RNAcentral lists this long non-coding RNA (2570 nucleotides) under Salvia miltiorrhiza (redroot sage). Its description in RNAcentral is "long non-coding RNA (SMIL_LNC005215)". Lineage: Eukaryota; Viridiplantae; Streptophyta; Magnoliopsida; Lamiales; Lamiaceae. The record is from RNAcentral.
GACAGACAGAGGCGCUGAAGUUGAAGAAGCUUCUGCGCAUGCUUUUCUUUGUCAAUCUUCAAAACUUUGACAAAAUCAUGGAAAAUUCAUCCUAAUUUCACCCACUUUUUUAUCCAUUUUUUCUUCUCUCACACCCUAAAUUCCAAUCGCAUCGUUUGAUGAUAGUAUAUUAGUAUUCAAGCACUCAUCAGUCAUCUUCUCUCUCUACCUUCUCUCACUUGCAGUAAAAGCCAUCGUUAUCUCAGAAUACUGAAAAGGUAAGUAAUCUCUAGCUCUGAUCUCUCUUUUUCAUCGUUAGUUUCUGUAAACGUUUGUAAAAUUAUUUAUUUGUCGAAAAAACAGAUUUUUCUAUUUUUCAAGUAGUUUUGCUUUGCUUUUUAGCUGGAUUUGCUGCAAAAAUUCUUCAUUACUCGAUGAUCCAGGAUUUGGGAUCGUGAUCAAAGGCAAUUAAUUAAAAAGGAUUAUAGCUUUUACAUAGAAUUAGGUGUUGAAUAUGAGUGCCUAAAAAUAUUUUUAUAAUGAGAAAAUUAUCUGUAACAACUAUCAACUCGCUUUGUAUUAUCUGGAAAGUUUGUGAAAAAAAAUUGACAACUUUGCUUCUUUGCAUAGAUAUUUUAUCAGUGUGUGUGUGUGUGUGAGAAAGAUGUGGGGUUAUAUUUAUCAUUUAAAAAUUAAUGCGGUUUGCCUGCUUUAUUACUCAUGAAUCGUCACUAUCUUUGUUUUCUAGCUCACACAUUUCCUUUUCCAUAAUUUAUUUAACUUUUUAUUUGACGAAAUCUGUGUGUGUGUGUGUAUUCGAGUUUUGCUGCUAAGCGUGUAAUAAUUUAGUAUUUGUUUGCAAAUUGCAAACCUAAUUUGACAUUAUUGAAGUGAUCAAUUGAGUUUAGGUGGGAUUUGAAGAUAAACCGCCUCAAAUUGCUCUAAUUAUCUCAUUUAAUUUCAUAGACUUUUUGACUUUUAUGCAAAAACAGAUUUGCAAACCUUUCUAUGUUAGUAUCAUAUUUAUUUAGUUGUAAAUUUGGAUCAUGUUUGCACUGCCCUUGAAAUAAUCCUCUCUCUCUCUCUCUAGGGAGAAAGAAAUCAUGAUAGAAGAAGUAUUGUCGAUCAAUGAUCAAUGGUGAUCUGCUAUUACCAGCUGCUAUUAUAUGCACAGCCAAGAUCUCAGAAAAUAAAGCAAAUAUGUGGAAGCCAACCUGAACACAACGCCACUCUCUUUGUGCCAAACUUUGUGGCCGUUAUGGAGAACAUAAGCACGCAAAUCCGGGCUUCGGGCUUCGGCGUGGCGGAAGCGGGCUCGGGGCCCGACAAGAACUACGGCCUGGCGCAGUGCUACGGCGACCUCUCCCCCGUCGACUGCGUGCUGUGCUACGCCGAGGCCCGCACGGUCCUGCCGCAGUGCUACCCGGUCAACGGGGGGAGGAUCUACCUCGACGGCUGCUUCAUGCGGGCCGAGAACUACAGCUUCUACGGGGAGCACACGGGCCCGACCGACCAAGCUGUAUGCGGGAACAGAACCCGGCCCGGUUCGGCCUUCAAUGAAUCGGUCGGACGGGCGUUGUCGCAGGCGGUUUCGGCCGCACCGAGCAACAACGGCUAUGCACGGGCCGUGGUCCGAACGAGGAACGAGUCGGCCUACGUCCUGGCCGACUGCUGGAGGACGAUUAGCCCUAGUGCCUGCCGGGCCUGCCUGGAGAACGCGUCUGCGGCCAUAUCGGGCUGCCUGCCUUUGUCCGAGGGCCGGGCCCUCAACACGGGCUGUUUCAUGAGGUAUUCAGACACCAAUUUCCUCAAUCCUAUACCUAGAAGUGGAAGCUCAAGAGGUAAUAGAACUAGUUAGAGUGUGUUUUUGUCUGAGUUUUCGCCUUCUUUAGCUUUUNAACCACCUAGUCCAAGAAGUGCUCAAGCGUCGAGGGCUUAUUUAAAUUAGGAAAUUAUGUUAUUUUUUAUUUUAUUAUCGUAUUUUAAUUAUAUUUUUAAUUUUAUUUUAAUUAUUGUAAUGUUUAAUUUUAUUUUUAAUGAAAUUAGAAAUUUUAAAAUAAAAGUGUAGAAAUAUAAAUUUUGUAGAAACGAAGAUUUAAGCACCCACAUAAGACACAAUGCAUUGGAGAGGGGUGUGUCUUAGGUGGGGCCCACUCCUAAGACACUCAUCUAAGACACAAGCAUUGGAGUUGCUCUAAUACUCCACUAUUUCUCAUACAUGUCUUUUGUGGAGUUUGCUACUUAAUUUCCGAGAAUAAAGAAAUUAGAAAAAUAAUUUGUAAAUAAAUGUAUAAAAAAUGAGUAGCGUCAAAAACGACGACCCCACUCAACGCGACAGACAGAGGCGCUGAAGUUGAAGAAGCUUCUGCGCAUGCUUUUCUUUGUCAAUUUUCAAAACUUUGACAAAAUCAUGGAAAAUUCAUCCUAAUUUCACCCACUUUUUUCUCCAUUUUUACUUCUCUCAUCCCCAAAAUCCAAUCGCAUCGUUUGAUGAUAGUAUAUGGAGUAAUAUUCAAGCACUCAUCAGUCAUCUUCUCUGUCUACCUUCUCUCACUUGCAGUAAAAGCCAUCGUUAUCUCAGAAUACUGAAA